CAGUCGCCGCGGGAACACGUAGGGUGCGAGCGUUAAUCGGAAUUACUGGGCGUAAAGCGUGCGCAGGCGGUUGUGUAAGACAGGUGUGAAAUCCCCGGGCUUAACCUGGGAACUGCGCUUGUGACUGCACAGCUAGAGUAUGGCAGAGGGGGGUGGAAUUCCACGUGUAGCAGUGAAAUGCGUAGAGAUGUGGAGGAACACCGAUGGCGAAGGCAGCCCCCUGGGCCAAUACUGACGCUCAUGCACGAAAGCGUGGGGAGCAAACAGGAUUAGAUACCCCCGUAGUCCCUGUCUCUUAUAA
Molecule: ribosomal RNA, 301 nt
Filed under: uncultured bacterium
Lineage: Bacteria
Description: partial 16S ribosomal RNA
Rfam family: Bacterial small subunit ribosomal RNA
Source: RNAcentral